UGAGCAAUCUGCCCUCGAUUCUGGGAUAGCCCGGGGAAACCCGGAUUAAUACCGGAUAGCCUCUCGAGCUUUCGAGCUCGUGAGAAAAGGUAGCUUCGGCCUCCGNUCGAGGAUGAGCCCGCGGCGGAUUAGCUUGUUGGUGGGGUAAUGGCCUACCAAGGCGACGAUCCGUAGCUGGUCUGAGAGGACGAUCAGCCACACUGGGACUGAGACACGGCCCAGACCUCUACGGGA
Molecule: ribosomal RNA, 234 nt
Filed under: uncultured bacterium
Lineage: Bacteria
Description: partial 16S ribosomal RNA
Rfam family: Bacterial small subunit ribosomal RNA
Source: RNAcentral